UUUUUUUUUUUUAAGAAGAAAACAGUCAAAUGGUACUCUCUUUGGUUUGUGGAUGUUUUUUUUCCCUCUCACAUGUUAACAGAUCAAGAUUAUCACUAUUAGAUUCAGACUGAGCUGGAUGCUGGUGAAAGCAUAUGCAAAACAUAGUCCAGUGCAACAGUCCCUCCCUGGCAGUGUGAGCUGGGAAUAGCUGGAAUUCCUCUGCUGAGUGUUCAGCAGUCAUGCUGUAUCCUUUGUUUGCACCUACCACUACUGUGCAAGCAGCUUCUUUCCAAUGGAAUCAACGUUUUAGAUGAUAUGUUGUUGGAAUGACACUAGGAAGACCUGGUAAAUGUCACCUAUGCCAAGCACAGACAGAGAGAGCCACAAAACACAGGUGGCACUGGCAGCGUCUUAGAAUAUUGUCAUUACGAAGCAACAAGAGCCUGACAUUGCAUUGUAUUUGUUCAGUUAAUGUAUUUCCACCUCUGACUUUCUGUGUCAAUCCUGCCUGGUCUCUUCAGUAGCAAGGCAGUGAGGGAAGAAUGUAUCUUUUUUGAAGAAAGACACUGGGAUUUUUGCACAUAGCGUGUUAUGGUCUAGUUCUGUGACUGGGACCACAUGUCGUGCUGCGGGAUGAAGAUAAACCAACAGCAACAGGCUAGGAAGAGUCAGCUCCGUAGCUCUGCCUCUGUUCACCCAUCUCACAUUCAAUUAGUCUCUGCUUGACAUCAGGCUGGGAGCAAUAAGCUCUGAUCAGAGCAGUGGAUGUGGCAACAUGCCCGUGAGCUCCAUGUGUCAUUCCAGAACCAGACGCUGUCCCACUGGAUUCUUCCAUAAAACAGCUGAGGCAGAUACAUGGAGGCCAGAUUUGUCUUUCGUAUCUACCUACUGCACCCUCUGAGGUAAGGAUAAAAGACAGAGCCACCUACAAGAAAACAUUACAGUAGCAAUGAACUUUAAGGCAGAGGAGGACAUUCAGGAAUUUUGGUUGUUGGUCCAGAUGAAAAUGAGAAACAUUGCACAAACACCAUCGCCCUAACAAGCUCAUACGGCUUGGUGGUUUUUUGUUUCUGAAUGAUCCUUUCUCAUGUACAUUAGACUCUGGAAAUUAUACAGGCUGCUGUGUGAAGAGGUGGCAGAGCCAAAAUCCAUGUGUGGACUUGUUUGGGGAGGUUGGGCUAAAGGUGGAAUCCCAGAUUUCUGCCUUACUUCAGUGUAAACUGAAACUUUACAUCAGAGAGAUGUAUUGAGAACUGAUUCACCAUGUAGGUAGAAGAAAAUGAGAAGGAAAAUUUCAAGCCAUAGCAAGACAAAGGACGCUUCUCCUGGAAAAGAUCCAUCUCCUUGACCGCAUCUCUCUCAAUUCAAGUGUGAACAUCACUUCUUAAGAAUGGUACCGAAGUCAACAUCUGUUCCUUCAGUUUCUUCCCGUUUCACCCUUGGCAUCUCAACAGUGACCUUGAGCUCCAGUGCACACAGACAAAUACCUGCUGUUCGACCUAUUUACGCUCACAGACAAUGGCUGCGGCCCAGUGAGUUUGUUUGCCGAGCUCUGUGGUACUGUUUGUGGGGAGAAGAGGAGCUCCGCGUGCUGGCUCCCCGUGGCCCCACCUGGGUUCUCAGCGAUGUGUACAAGGUGUGCUUCUGGUGAGUGGGGAGGGCCGCCGACCGAGUAAGUGUAAUCACAGCUGCCUUCACGUGGGGGAACGUGGCGGUGGGGAACUGGGGAGGGGAUGGUUCCCAAGAGGUAACACGCAGCGUUUUCUCCCCUGAAAUCUACCAAAUAUGCUCUGACUCUCCUCAAGGGGGACCAGCCUGAACAAAGUACAAAAAAAAAAAAGGCAGC
Long non-coding RNA from Numida meleagris (helmeted guineafowl), 1828 nucleotides. RefSeq lists it as uncharacterized. NCBI's taxonomy places the organism in Eukaryota, Metazoa, Chordata, Aves, Galliformes, Numididae. The record is from RefSeq and is a predicted model, not a curated record. The transcript is spliced from 3 exons.